RNAcentral lists this ribosomal RNA (498 nucleotides) under uncultured Rikenellaceae bacterium. RNAcentral's name for it is "bacterial SSU rRNA". It matches the Rfam family "Bacterial small subunit ribosomal RNA", at positions 903 to 1382 of the family's 1533-position model. Lineage: Bacteria; Pseudomonadati; Bacteroidota; Bacteroidia; Bacteroidales; Rikenellaceae. The record is from RNAcentral.
UUGCCAGCCCGCUCAGAACUUAAAUGAAUUGACGGGGCCGCACAAGCGGAGGAACAUGUGGUUUAAUUCGAUGAUACGCGAGGAACCUUACCUGGGCUAGAACGCAAUCGGAAUCAGGCCGAAAGGUCUGCGCCAGCGAUGGCCGCUUGCGAGGUGCUGCAUGGUUGUCGUCAGCUCGUGCCGUGAGGUGUCGGGUUAAGUCCCAUAACGAGCGCAACCCCUACUGCUAGUUGCCAGCGGGUCAUGCCGGGGACUCUAGCGGAACUGCCAGCGUAAGCUGCGAGGAAGGUGGGGAUGACGUCAAAUCAGCACGGCCCUUACGUCCAGGGCUACACACGUGUUACAAUGGCCAGUACAGAGGGCAGCCACCCCGCGAGGGGGCGCUAAUCCUAAAAGCUGGUCCCAGUUCGGAUCGGAGUCUGCAACCCGACUCCGUGAAGCUGGAUUCGCUAGUAAUCGCGCAUCAGCCACGGCGCGGUGAAUACGUUCCCGGGCCUU